CAGCCGCCGCGGGAAUACGGAGGGUGCAAGCGUUAUCCGGAUUCACUGGGUUUAAAGGGUGCGUAGGCGGGCAGGUAAGUCAGUGGUGAAAUCUUCGAGCUUAACUCGGAAACUGCCGUUGAUACUAUCUGUCUUGAAUAACGUUGAGGUGAGCGGAAUAUGUCAUGUAGCGGUGAAAUGCUUAGAUAUGACAUAGAACACCGAUUGCGAAGGCAGCUCACUAAACGCUCAUUGACGCUGAGGCACGAAAGCGUGGGGAUCAAACAGGAUUAGAGACCCCUGUAGUCCCUGUCUCUUAUAC
This 301-nucleotide ribosomal RNA is filed under the name uncultured bacterium. Its description in RNAcentral is "partial 16S ribosomal RNA". It matches the Rfam family "Bacterial small subunit ribosomal RNA", at positions 509 to 807 of the family's 1533-position model. The record is from RNAcentral.